CUGUUUUCGGUCAAAUUCGACCAAACUUGCACCAGUUCCUCUGAGAAAACACACUUAGGGCCCUCGGUUGGCCAAAAAAACGAAGAAAGCCGAAACUCACCUACGGUGGGGCUCUCUGGUGCGGUGGCUCCUCCAGCUCACGUUGCGGUUGGGUGUUUUGCUCCAGUCAACUUGUAGAGGAGGAAACGGUGAUCACAAUGGUGAGAAAAUCACAUCAAACGGGAAUCGGGAAGGGCCUCAUCAGAGGCAAAAAUUGAAAUACCCCGCGGUAGCGCAGUUGAGCUUUGGCAGUGUUUUCUUGCCAAUUGGCUAGUGCUUUUACUCUUAUUUGGCCAUAGGUGGGUUUAAAAUAAAAUUCUGAGCAAAUGGUAGAAUUUUUACCUCCUUUGGCGGCCAGAAAUUGCUUCGGUAUGGCAGCGGGUGGCAACGGUCGACUCCCCAUUGGCUGGGCUGACUUCUCCGGCGAGGGGCUCUGGCGGUUAGGGUUAGAGUUUGGGUGCGGAUGGGGUUAUUUAUACCCAUCCGCUUUUGAUCUGAGCUGUCCAUCGCUUUUAAUUUGGAUUGUCUAAUCACGAUUAAAUAGGGAGUGAAUCUGGGCCAUUCGUCGCGAUUUAAUCUUGGACGUCCAUGCACGAUUCAAUAUGGACCAUCCGUGCGCGAUACAAUCUGGUCCGUCUGUGCGCGCUUUUGAUCCGGGCCGUCCGUGCGUG
This 710-nucleotide long non-coding RNA is filed under the name Carica papaya (papaya). RNAcentral describes it as "long non-coding RNA (CPAP_LNC013873)". Lineage: Eukaryota; Viridiplantae; Streptophyta; Magnoliopsida; Brassicales; Caricaceae. The record is from RNAcentral.